UUCGCCCGGGGACUACGAGCAUAAGCUUAAAACCCAAAGGACUUGGCGGUGCUUUAAACCCACCUAGAGGAGCCUGUUCUAUAACCGAUAACCCCCGUUAAACCUCACCUUCUCUUGUUAUUUCCGCCUAUAUACCGCCGUCGUCAGCUUACCCUGUGAAGGCUAUUUAGUAAGCAAAACUGAUUAUAUCCAAAACGCCAGGUCAAGGUGUAGCAAAUGAGAAGGAAAGAAAUGGGCUACAUUUUCUAAUUCAGAAAAUACGGAAAUUGCCAUGAAACAGCACAUUAAAGGAGGAUUUAGCAGUAAGUGGGGAAUAGAGAGCUCC
RNAcentral lists this ribosomal RNA (325 nucleotides) under Aphyosemion caudofasciatum. Its description in RNAcentral is "partial 12S ribosomal RNA". It matches the Rfam family "Bacterial small subunit ribosomal RNA", at positions 868 to 1360 of the family's 1533-position model. Lineage: Eukaryota; Metazoa; Chordata; Actinopteri; Cyprinodontiformes; Nothobranchiidae. The record is from RNAcentral.